UCCGGUGGCUAUAGCGCAAGGGUCACACCUGUUCCCAUCCCGAACACAGAAGUUAAGCCUUGCUGCGCUGAUGAUACUGCAUGGGCAACUGUGUGGGAAAGUAGGUCGUCGCCGGAA
Molecule: ribosomal RNA, 117 nt
Filed under: Desulfuromonadaceae bacterium
Lineage: Bacteria; Pseudomonadati; Thermodesulfobacteriota; Desulfuromonadia; Desulfuromonadales; Desulfuromonadaceae
Source: RNAcentral